UUACUUUGGCAAAUCAUAACUACAAAGUUUAUCAAAAGGAGGAGAAUGUUAUAGAAGAUAUGUACUGGUGCUUUGAAAAGAAAAAAGAAGAUGAACCGAUACACAGAGAAAUAUUUUCAGUAAAAAGCAGGGGAAAAGAUGAAGAUGAUUAUUUCAAGUAUCACUUUUCAAACCCAUUUAAAAUUCUUCUUGACUGGUCAGACACAAAACCACAUAAUGGUCAACCUCUGAUGUAAAGAGAUAUUAUGGAAACAU
Long non-coding RNA from Saccostrea echinata, 255 nucleotides. RefSeq lists it as uncharacterized. The record is from RefSeq and is a predicted model, not a curated record. The transcript is spliced from 3 exons. NCBI's taxonomy places the organism in Eukaryota, Metazoa, Mollusca, Bivalvia, Ostreida, Ostreidae.